Molecule: ribosomal RNA, 492 nt
Filed under: uncultured bacterium
Lineage: Bacteria
Description: partial 16S ribosomal RNA
Rfam family: Bacterial small subunit ribosomal RNA
Source: RNAcentral
AGUGAACGCUGGCGGUAGGCCUAACACAUGCAAGUCGAACGGCAGCACAGUAAGAGCUUGCUCUUACGGGUGGCGAGUGGCGGACGGGUGAGGAAUACAUCGGAAUCUACUUUUUCGUGGGGGAUAACGUAGGGAAACUUACGCUAAUACCGCAUACGACCUACGGGUGAAAGCAGGGGAUCUUCGGACCUUGCGCGAUUGAAUGAGCCGAUGUCGGAUUAGCUAGUUGGCGGGGUAAAGGCCCACCAAGGCGACGAUCCGUAGCUGGUCUGAGAGGAUGAUCAGCCACACUGGAACUGAGACACGGUCCAGACUCCUACGGGAGGCAGCAGUGGGGAAUAUUGGACAAAGGGCGCAAGCCUGAUCCAGCCAUACCGCGUGGGUGAAGAAGGCCUUCGGGUUGUAAAGCCCUUUUGUUGGGAAAGAAAAUCAGCAGGUUAAUACCCCGCUGUUCUGACGGUACCCAAAGAAUAAGCCCCGGCUAACUUCGUG